GUGCUCGCUUCGGCAGCUCAUAUACUAAAACUGGAACGAUACAGAGAUUAGCAUGGCCCCUGCGUGAGGAUGACAGGAAAAUUCAUGAAGCGUUCCAUAUUUUU
RNAcentral lists this small nuclear RNA (104 nucleotides) under Physeter macrocephalus (sperm whale). The record is from RNAcentral. Lineage: Eukaryota; Metazoa; Chordata; Mammalia; Artiodactyla; Physeteridae.